UAGGGAAUCUUCCACAAUGGACGAAGGUCUGAUGGAGCAACGCCGCGUGAGUGAAGAAGGAUUUCGGUUCGUAAAACUCUGUUGCAAGGGAAGAACAAGUAGCGUAGUAACUGGCGCUACCUUGACGGUACCUUGUUAGAAAGCCACGGCUAACUACGUGCCAGCAGCCGCGGUAAUACGUAGGUGGCAGGCGUUGUCCGGAAUUAUUGGGCGUAAAGCGCGCGCAGGUGGUUCUUUAAGUCUGAUGUGAAAGCCCCCGGCUCAACCGGGGAGGGUCAUUGGAAACUGGGGAACUUGAGUGCAGAAGAGGAUAGUGGAAUUCCAAGUGUAGCGGUGAAAUGCGUAGAGAUUUGGAGGAACACCAGUGGCGAAGGCGACUGUCUGGUCUGUAACUGACACUGAGGCGCGAAAGCGUGGGGAGCAAACAGGAUUGGAUACCCUGGUAGUCCACGCCGUAAACGAUGAGUGCUAAGUGUUGGGGGGUUUCCGCCCGUCAGUGCUGCAG
RNAcentral lists this ribosomal RNA (505 nucleotides) under uncultured Bacillota bacterium. RNAcentral describes it as "bacterial SSU rRNA". It matches the Rfam family "Bacterial small subunit ribosomal RNA", at positions 355 to 851 of the family's 1533-position model. Lineage: Bacteria; Bacillati; Bacillota. The record is from RNAcentral.